Molecule: long non-coding RNA, 4694 nt
Filed under: Salvia miltiorrhiza (redroot sage)
Lineage: Eukaryota; Viridiplantae; Streptophyta; Magnoliopsida; Lamiales; Lamiaceae
Description: long non-coding RNA (SMIL_LNC002283)
Source: RNAcentral
CACCUGCGCUGCAAGAAGUUGGGGGAUCCUUCUGCAAAUCCUUGAGCUCCUUCAAGAUCCGUUUGGAAGCCAUCGAAGAAAAAUCCGAUCUUUUGACUAUCUUCGAGAGACCCAGAAAGAAAAAUAAAAUCAAAUUGAGAGAUGUAAACAAGGCAAAAACGCGCAGCGGUUGGUGAGAAUUUUACCUGCCGACGAGAGAGAGAGAGAGGCGAAGACUUGUUCAGUUGAUUCGCCUUUUUGCUUCUUGUUCAGCUGCCGCUUCUUGAUCUUGACGCGAUGAAGCUGAUUUUGAAGAAUAUAGCACUCAUUCACUCAAUAUUAGUAAUUAAUUAUUAAUAUAAAAUAAAAAUAUAAGUGCAAGAUUUUACUACUACUUUCUUUCCUUCAAAUGAUUGGACUGUUUUCAUGUGAUAUCGGCUUGUCUUGUUUCCCCUCCAAUAAUUUGUUAAUACAGUUCACAAAAUCUAAAAUAAAUAAAAAGAAAUGUAAAAUAUGACAUAUUUUAUUUAGUUUGUUGUUUAUGACAUUGUACCAUAUUAAUUUAGUGUCUCGCCUUCAAAUUUUUCUAUUUUUACUUAUUAUGUUUUAGUUUAAUUUUAUGAUUAUUAGUUAUGCAAUCCAAUUAUACUAUAUAAUUAUUAUUAUCGUUCAAUUUCACUUUUAUUAAUUAAUUAUAGGUUGAUAAAUUUAAAGUCAUGAUAUGUAGUAAUCUUUUAAUUUUUAAAAUUUUUUAAUUCAUAAUAUUAUACUCCCUUUGUCUCCCUAUUAUUGUCCCACUUAUUAUUUUAGGUUGUCUAAUUAUUAUUGUCCCAUUUCCAUAAAAAGUAAUAAUUAAUUCUUUAUAAGGUGUGAGUCAUACCACUUUUAAUUAAUUUACAAUUUUUUUUAAAAAAAAUCAUGUGCCCAAAUGUUUUGGGACAACGAAAUGGAAGGAGUAAUGAAUAUUCUUUUUAUGAAAAAUAUACUAUUAAAAUUAGUGAUAUAAUAAUAGGAGACGAUACACACAUAAAAUUGUGGAAUGAUUUUUCAGAAAAAGAGAAUAAAUUAUUUUACCCAUCUCCCCAAAAAGCAUGUUUUUCGGGUCAUUUUUUGUUGCUAUGUUAUAAAAUGAAAAGCACAAGAAAAAAAAAUUAACAAGUGAGUAUUGAUAAAUAAAAGUAAUAAUUUUUAUACUAAAAAAUAACAAUAGUAAAAAGGAAAUUGCUAUGAAUAAAAGUAGAUUAUACAAAAAAGUAACAAAAUUUUAAUUAAAAGUAACAAAUAUUAUGAUUAAAAAUUUAAUAGCGACUUCCCCUCAAAAAAAAAAAAAAAUUACUAGCUACAAUUGCACUUCGUGAAACAAUUUUUAAAAUUUCUAUUUAUCCAAUCCAAAAAUAAGUGACAAUUACAAAAGUGAUAUUAAUAAAUGUGACAAUAUUAAUGAAUAAAAGUGAUAGUUUAUAUAUACAAAAAUAAAUAGAUUGGAUUGUCCGAUCCGUGCGAUCCUUUUUAGUGAACGCUUCAAAAUUCGGGCCACAAACCAUACAAACCCAUUUCAUAUGCAGAUUGGGCUUUCAAGCAAACACAAAAGCAUUGAAAUUGGAGUAAUUCAAAGCAAAAAAAUAAGACUGCAAAUUUACCUAAAAUGAAAUCAAAACAAGAAUUGAUAAUAAACCAAAUCCAGUGUCUCUCUGGAUAGAUAUUCCAUACCAACAGUUCAAACGCAUGAUUUUGCAGCAGUUUUCAAGACUCUUAUACAUCAGUCCGUUGCAGGAACAGAGAGAAACAACACAUCAUUUUUUACAUAAUAAUAAUGCAAAUCUAAAUUCUUGAGGGCAUCAACCCAUGGCAUACUUCUGAGUCCAGCUCCGAGCAGUUUGCUCGUACUUGGCCCUAUCCGUCUUGUACAUAUGAGCAAUCUCCGGCACCAACGGGUCGUCAGGGUUCGGAUCCGUCAGGAGCGAGCAGAUUGAGAGCAACACCUGUCACCACAGACAACAUAGUAUAAGAAACAAAGUAUAAGGUGUUUGGCUAAGCUUAUUUUAGAGAACUUAUAAGACGUUGCACGAGCUUAUAAGCUAGAGAGAGAAAAUCCUAAUUGGAGAGAGAUGAAAUUGAAAGGGCAUAUGAUGAAAAUUUCACUUAUAACAUGUUUAGAAGCUUAUUUUGCCAAACACUUUUCAAGAGCUUAUAAGUUCAACCAAACACCCUCUAAGUCGGAAAUUUCAUUCAGUAGAGGCAUACGGGAACGCUGGUUAGACAAACAUCUGUGUCUCUUAGAAGUGGGAUAGGAAUUCAAGUAAAUCUUACACUUUUUUUUUAUUUGAGGGGAAGUAAAUCUUACACAUUUAAUUGAAUGAGAUUAAUUCAAGUCUAGUUCUUGUGCACAAGUUAUUUUAUUCUCUUGGAAGUUGGAACCAUAAAAUUCACAUUCUAGCUUGUUCUUUUUUCUCUUACUAAUUUCGUCUUCUAGGCAAGAUAUCGUCGGGCAAAGAGAGUUUCCUAAUCCUUUGCAUUUUGUUCCAGUAAAGAAGACACACAACAAAUAGCAGAAGCCACAUAAAUUUGUUAUUUUCAAGAAAGUCAUUUUUCCAUUUUGCAAGCGCAAAUAAGGCAGGCGUGCCAGCCAAACGGCACAUAUCUUGGGACGCAACUGCUUCAACAACUUGGUGGGUGGGGUGGGAGGGGUUGGGGUGGGGCAGGGGGAGGAGAGGAAUGUCCUAUCAAGAUGCUAAGAUGUUCUUAUAAGUUGUAUACGUGUAAUUUUUUUUAAUACUAAAUGACACGAGAAAAAGCACCGACGGAAUACAAAAGUAACCUUAGAUAUUGUCAAGGCGGGGCUCCACUGCUCCUUCAAAAUGUCGAGGCAUAUGCUACCAUUGCUGUUAAUGUUUGGGUGAAAAACCUUUGUCCUGAAUGCAACCUGCAAAAGUUCACCCAUAAGAAUAAUGAGGCAAGUCGGCUACACUCUCAAGCAUGAAAUUGCUCGGAACGUUACAAGAGAAGCCAACUAUAAGCAUUUGUCGCAAAUUCAAUACACAAUUCGGGGAGCUCUUCGUUACUAAUUCAAUUUCCUGCUUUAUUUAGCACUGUAUGCAGUGAUCUACAUAAUACAUAGAAUAUAGACAGAACAUUACGAGAAACUGUCAAGCAGUGGAGACAAAACUGAGAGGGAUGCUUGGAACGCAAAUGAGAUAAAUAUGAUGGUGGUAGGGAAUGGAAAAGGGUAUGGGUUUCAAAACUAUCCCCAAAUUCUUUAAAUCAAUUUUUUUCCUGAAAAGAUUCAAAUCAAGAACAUUAGAUUGUAGAGAAACAACGACCAGACACGCUCAAGAGUCGGGAGAGUUAAGAACAUAAUUCAGAUCCUCGUCAGAUUAUGAUAGCAUCAAACUCUAAAGCUCAAAAUACACAAAGUAUUAGUCUAUUAGACACAUAAAAUAAUCACAUUAAGGGACAUAGAAAAAUAGGCUCGUUGCAAUACAGCGGUCAGAAAACUAAUGGCCAGUAAAGUAUACCAUACAGACAAUUACUUGAGAAUUCCAUGGUAAGCAACCGAACUAAAAUUCAAAAAUCAAGAACAAAGACACGGAGAAUUUUCAUAUAAUGAUGAUUUAACAAUUUCAGAAAGAAUCUAACAAGCCACACCUUCGGAGGCUUGAAAGGGUAAUCGGGGGGGAAAUGAAUAGUGACUAAAAACACUCCUCCCGCAUACGGACUAUCCUGUGGACCCAUUAUCGUUGCCUGCCAGUGAAACAUGUCUUCACCAACAGGUCCUGUUACAACACCAAAUGAGUAUGAUUUCCAACUAGCAACCACAAUAGUUAAAUAAAGAAAAGGUACUUCAUAAAAACACGACUCUGACAUCAAAUGAUUUAUGAAUGGCUUCACAAAGUUGCAAGUUAGAUAUGAUCUGAAAACAGCAUAGCUCCAAUUCAAGUAUCUUAGAACUUUAGCAGCAACCUUGCUAUCAUUAAAACACCUAAAAUUCUAGUCUUUUUCCCCCCCUUUACCUUCUUAGCAGUUGGGCUGGCCUUCUCAACUUCCACUCAACAUCAAUGAUUACAGUUAGCAAAGAUUUUUCAGAAAAUGGUCAAAAACAACAAAAUUAGCCAACCCCACAAGACAUCGUGCCAUCUAAAGAUUAUUUAUCGCAAGAUUUUUACAAGACAAAAUGCAUAAAACAUCCAAAGUAAACUUCUCAAAAAAAAAAAACACAUCUAAAGUAAUAAACCAGGGAAGCCCAGAUGAAAAAAAUGUCAUUUUCUUGCACAUAUACAUUCAAAUGUCAUGGAUCCACCCUUAGAAUUCUCAAUCAGCAAAAAAAAAAAAUCAAUAAUCAACAAAAAACGCAUAUAGACACACAAAAUAAAGCUAAAUUAAAAUUAAGGAAAACCAAAAUUGAGAGAAAGACCUGCGCUGCAAGAAGUCGGGGGAUCCUUCUGCAAAUCCUUGAGCUCCUUCAAGAUCCGUUUGGAAGCCAUCGAAGAAAAAUCCGAUCUUUUGACUAUCUUCGAGAAACCCAGAAAGAAAAAUAAAAUCAAAUUGAGAGAUGUAAACAAGGCAAAAACGCGCAGCGGUUGGUGAGAAUUUUACUUGCCCAGAGAGAAGAGAGAGAGGCGAAGACUUGUUCAGUUGAUUCGCCUUUUUGCUUCUUGUUCAGCUGCCGCUUCUUGAUCUUGACGCGAUGAAACUGAUUUUGAAGAAUAUAGCACUCA